This 495-nucleotide ribosomal RNA is filed under the name uncultured bacterium. Its description in RNAcentral is "partial 16S ribosomal RNA". It matches the Rfam family "Bacterial small subunit ribosomal RNA", at positions 30 to 507 of the family's 1533-position model. The record is from RNAcentral.
UGAACGCUGGCGGCGUGCCUAAUACAUGCAAGUCGAGCGAACAGAUGAGGAGCUUGCUCCUCUGACGUUAGCGGCGGACGGGUGAGUAACACGUGGAUAACCUACCUAUAAGACUGGGAUAACUUCGGGAAACCGGAGCUAAUACCGGAUAAUAUAUUGAACCGCAUGGUUCAAUAGUGAAAGACGGUUUUGCUGUCACUUAUAGAUGGAUCCGCGCCGCAUUAGCUAGUUGGUAAGGUAACGGCUUACCAAGGCAACGAUGCGUAGCCGACCUGAGAGGGUGAUCGGCCACACUGGAACUGAGACACGGUCCAGACUCCUACGGGAGGCAGCAGUAGGGAAUCUUCCGCAAUGGGCGAAAGCCUGACGGAGCACCGCCGCGUGAGUGCUGAAGGUCUUCGGAUCGUAAAACUCUGUUAUUAGGGAAGAACAAAUGUGUAAGUAACUAUGCACGUCUUGACGGUACCUAAUCAGAAAGCCACGGCUAACUACGUG